UACGGAGGGUGCAAGCGUUAUCCGGAUUCACUGGGUUUAAAGGGAGCGUAGGAGGGCAGGUAAGUCAGUGGUGAAAUCUUCGAGCUUAACUCGGAAACUGCCGUUGAUACUAUCUGUCUUGAAUACCGUGGAGAUGAGCGGAAUAUGUCAUGUAGCGGUGAAAUGCUUAGAUAUGACAUGGAACACCAAUUGCGAAGGCAGCUCGUUACACGAAUAUUGACUCUGAGGCUCGAAAGCGUGGGGAUCAAACAGG
RNAcentral lists this ribosomal RNA (253 nucleotides) under uncultured bacterium. Its description in RNAcentral is "partial 16S ribosomal RNA". It matches the Rfam family "Bacterial small subunit ribosomal RNA", at positions 524 to 776 of the family's 1533-position model. The record is from RNAcentral.